RNAcentral lists this ribosomal RNA (530 nucleotides) under Bifidobacterium breve. RNAcentral's name for it is "bacterial SSU rRNA". It matches the Rfam family "Bacterial small subunit ribosomal RNA", at positions 158 to 698 of the family's 1533-position model. The record is from RNAcentral. Lineage: Bacteria; Bacillati; Actinomycetota; Actinomycetes; Bifidobacteriales; Bifidobacteriaceae.
GGGUGGUAAUGCCGGAUGCUCCAUCACAUCGCAUGGUGUGUUGGGAAAGCCUUUGCGGCAUGGGAUGGGGUCGCGUCCUAUCAGCUUGAUGGCGGGGUAACGGCCCACCAUGGCUUCGACGGGUAGCCGGCCUGAGAGGGCGACCGGCCACAUUGGGACUGAGAUACGGCCCAGACUCCUACGGGAGGCAGCAGUGGGGAAUAUUGCACAAUGGGCGCAAGCCUGAUGCAGCGACGCCGCGUGAGGGAUGGAGGCCUUCGGGUUGUAAACCUCUUUUGUUAGGGAGCAAGGCAUUUUGUGUUGAGUGUACCUUUCGAAUAAGCACCGGCUAACUACGUGCCAGCAGCCGCGGUAAUACGUAGGGUGCAAGCGUUAUCCGGAAUUAUUGGGCGUAAAGGGCUCGUAGGCGGUUCGUCGCGUCCGGUGUGAAAGUCCAUCGCUUAACGGUGGAUCCGCGCCGGGUACGGGCGGGCUUGAGUGCGGUAGGGGAGACUGGAAUUCCCGGUGUAACGGUGGAAUGUGUAGAUAUC